RNAcentral lists this transfer RNA (67 nucleotides) under Marmota monax (woodchuck). RNAcentral's name for it is "tRNA.Ala". Lineage: Eukaryota; Metazoa; Chordata; Mammalia; Rodentia; Sciuridae. The record is from RNAcentral.
GGUUGUGGCUCAGCGGUAGAGCGCUUGUCUCGCACAUGUGGGGCCCUGGGCUCGAUCCUCAGCACCA